Non-coding RNA from Paralichthys olivaceus (Japanese flounder), 437 nucleotides. The record is from RefSeq and is a predicted model, not a curated record. NCBI's taxonomy places the organism in Eukaryota, Metazoa, Chordata, Actinopteri, Pleuronectiformes, Paralichthyidae.
AGCCGAACUCUUAUGAAACUAAGUAGAGCAGCAGCCGGAGACAAACACCGGAGACAGACACCGGACAGACACCGGACACACACCGGAGACCCACACCGACCUGCCGACCUGCACUCAGCCGGGAGAUGCGUCUGUCCCUGGGCCUGACAUAGACUUCAGCUCCGGGAGGCAGCUCCAGAAUAAAAUGACCCGAAACUCCAUCCACUGGUUCCGCAAGGGCCUUCGUCUCCAUGACAACCCCGCGCUGCAGGAGGCGGUCCGGGGGGCGGACACGGUGCGCUGCGUUUACUUCCUGGACCCGUGGUUCGCAGGAUCGUCCAACGUCGGGGUCAACAGGUGGAGUGAAACCAGGAGACGAUCACUGAAGCUGGUAAAUCUGCGAACACUUUUUAAACCUGGGAGUCGACCGACGCUCUUCUUUGACUCGGAGAAACGUU